This 18-nucleotide small nuclear RNA is filed under the name Arabidopsis thaliana (thale cress). RNAcentral's name for it is "snRNA_08308". The record is from RNAcentral. Lineage: Eukaryota; Viridiplantae; Streptophyta; Magnoliopsida; Brassicales; Brassicaceae.
CUAGUCCGACUUUGUGAA